GCCCAGACUCCUACGGGAGGCAGCAGUGGGGGAUAUUGCACAAUGGGGGGAACCCUGAUGCAGCGACGCCGCGUGGGUGAAGGAGCGUUUCGGCGCGUAAAGCCCUAUCGGCAGGGAAGAAGGAGGACGGUACCUGACUAAGAAGCCCCGGCUAACUACGUGCCAGCAGCCGCGGGAAUACGUAGGGGGCGAGCGUUAUCCGGAUUCACUGGGCGUAAAGGGAGCGCAGGCGGCACGGCAAGUCCGGUGUGAAAGCCCGGGGCCCAACCCCGGGACUGCACUGGAAACUGCCGGGCUGGAGUGUCGGAGGGGCAGGCGGAAUUCCUAGUGUAGCGGUGAAAUGCGUAGAUAUUAGGAGGAACACCGGUGGCGAAGGCGGCCUGCUGGACGACGACUGACGCUGAGGCUCGAAAGCGUGGGGAGCAAACAGGAUUAGAUACCCUCGUAA
Molecule: ribosomal RNA, 448 nt
Filed under: uncultured bacterium
Lineage: Bacteria
Description: partial 16S ribosomal RNA
Rfam family: Bacterial small subunit ribosomal RNA
Source: RNAcentral